UAGGGAAUCUUCCGCAAUGGACGCAAGUCUGACGGAGCAACGCCGCGUGAGUGAAGAAGGAUUUCGGUUCGUAAAACUCUGUUGUUAGAGAAGAACAGCGCAUAGAGUAACUGUUAUGCGUGUGACGGUAUCUAACCAGAAAGCCACGGCUAACUACGUGCCAGCAGCCGCGGUAAUACGUAGGUGGCAAGCGUUAUCCGGAAUUAUUGGGCGUAAAGCGCGCGUAGGCGGUUUUUUAAGUCUGAUGUGAAAGCCCACGGCUCAACCGUGGAGGGUCAUUGGAAACUGGAAAACUUGAGUGCAGAAGAGGAAAGUGGAAUUCCAUGUGUAACGGUGAAAUGCGCAGAGAUAUGGAGGAACACCAGUGGCGAAGGCGACUUUCUGGUCUGUAACUGACGCUGAUGUGCGAAAGCGUGGGAAUCAAACAGG
This 429-nucleotide ribosomal RNA is filed under the name Bacteroidota bacterium. RNAcentral describes it as "Bacteroidetes bacterium partial 16S ribosomal RNA". It matches the Rfam family "Bacterial small subunit ribosomal RNA", at positions 355 to 776 of the family's 1533-position model. Lineage: Bacteria; Pseudomonadati; Bacteroidota. The record is from RNAcentral.